UUCCUUUGGAGCCAGCAUCAGCGACGGACGUACUUAGUGCAGUCAAGAGAAAAUAAAUCGUGAAUCUCGUUCUGCCAUUGAUAUAAAGAAAUUAAUCUCGCUACCCAUAAGUGGGCAGUGAAAUAGAUAUUUUGGUGCAGAAUUGUUGGCAACGAGGAAAAAGGGAAAACAACAAAAAUAAGUCCACGCGCAGCAAGUUGAAGGCCAGCUUUAUUAAUUUAGCGACGGCGCAAUAGCGUGAGGCCCCAUAAAGGCAAACAUUGUGAGCUUGGUGCCCGAUUCUGGAACCGCGCACCGCAUCGAAUGCACUCGAAUCUGACCUAAAAGUGGCUAAAGGCUCUGUCGCAAUUGCUACGUGAGGACGCACGUUAUACCUUUGCGAGAAUUGGGAGUGGCCAAGAAAUUCGGCGCCUCCCAGAGCAGGUUUCAAGCGACUGUUGCUAAUCAAGGACUCCAUAGUUCGUGGCAAUGCCUUUGAAACCAUGCAAUAUCCAUGAUAAGUGCAUGAGCAUGGUGUUUCGUCCAUAGAAAGCUACUUCACUACAACAGCACUCGUGUCGAGCGCGAAACUAAACCCAGCAUUUUACUAGGAAGGAGAGAGAAGGUUCUGCCACAUGACCAAGGACAGGUCACAGGUCCAACGCGAAUAGCCAUGUUAGGCUAUCGCCAUCUGAAAUUUGUUUAAUUUUAAUUUUGAGUUAGGUUAUUAAUUUGAACUUUUCUGUCUAACUACAGAAGCAGUUAUUUAAUAUAAUUUCCACAACAACAAGUGUAUGUAAAGAAAGCGCAGCAUGUCUUCGAUGUAGGAUGGAUAUGUUUUGUUUGAUAAAAUUGGCAACCAAAACCAAAA
Long non-coding RNA from Scaptodrosophila lebanonensis, 850 nucleotides. RefSeq lists it as uncharacterized. Lineage: Eukaryota; Metazoa; Arthropoda; Insecta; Diptera; Drosophilidae. The record is from RefSeq and is a predicted model, not a curated record. The transcript has 2 exons.